AACGCGAAGAACCUUACCUGGGCUUGACAUGCAUCUCUAAGGCGGUGAAAGCCGUCGACUGUAGCAAUACAGAAUUUGCACAGGUGCUGCAUGGCUGUCGUCAGCUCGUGUCGUGAGAUGUUGGGUUAAGUCCCGCAACGAGCGCAACCCUUGUGGAUUGUUGCCACCGGAGAAAUCCGCGCACUCAAGCCAGACUGCCCAGUUAAACUGGGAGGAAGGUGGGGACGACGUCAAGUCCGUAUGGCCCUUACGCCCAGGGCUGCACACGUACUACAAUGCCCAGCACAAUGGGAACCCAAGCCGCGAGGUGGAGGAAAUCCUAUAAAACUGGGCUCAGUUCAGAUUGAAGGCUGCAACUCGCCUUCAUGAAGAUGGAAUCGCUAGUAAUGGCGCAUCAGCUACGGCGCCGUGAAUACGUUCCCGGGCCUUGUA
RNAcentral lists this ribosomal RNA (432 nucleotides) under uncultured Verrucomicrobiota bacterium. RNAcentral's name for it is "bacterial SSU rRNA". It matches the Rfam family "Bacterial small subunit ribosomal RNA", at positions 958 to 1385 of the family's 1533-position model. Lineage: Bacteria; Pseudomonadati; Verrucomicrobiota. The record is from RNAcentral.